RNAcentral lists this ribosomal RNA (395 nucleotides) under uncultured bacterium. RNAcentral describes it as "partial 16S ribosomal RNA". It matches the Rfam family "Bacterial small subunit ribosomal RNA", at positions 523 to 918 of the family's 1533-position model. The record is from RNAcentral.
AUACGUAGGGUGCAAGCGUUAAUCGGAAUUACUGGGCGUAAAGCGUGCGCAGGCGGUUUUGUAAGACAGUGGUGAAAUCCCCGGGCUCAACCUGGGAACUGCCAUUGUGACUGCAAGGCUGGAGUGCGGCAGAGGGGGAUGGAAUUUCGCGUGUAGGAGUGAAAUGCGUAGAUAUGCGGAGGAACACCGAUGGCGAAGGCAAUCCCCUGGGCCUGCACUGACGCUCAUGCACGAAAGCGUGGGGAGCAAACAGGAUUAGAUACCCUGGUAGUCCACGCCCUAAACGAUGUCAACUGGUUGUUGGGGAUUUAUUUUCUCAGUAACGAAGCUAACGCGUGAAGUCGACCGCCUGGGGAGUACGGCCGCAAGGUUAAAACUCAAAUGAAUUGACGGGG